AGUGAACGCUGGCGGUAGGCCUAACACAUGCAAGUCGAACGGCAGCACAGUAAGAGCUUGCUCUUACGGGUGGCGAGUGGCGGACGGGUGAGGAAUACAUCGGAUUCUACUUUUUCGUGGGGGAUAACGUAGGGAAACUUACGCUAAUACCGCAUACGACCUACGGGUGAAAGCAGGGGAUCUUCGGACCUUGCGCGAUUGAUUGAGCCGAUGUCGGAUUAGCUAGUUGGGGGGGUAAAGGCCCACCAAGGCGACGAUCCGUAGCUGGUCUGAGAGGAUGAUCAGCCACACUGGAACUGAGACACGGUCCAGACUCCUACGGGAGGCAGCAGUGGGGAAUAUUGGACAAUGGGCGCAAGCCUGAUCCAGCCAUACCGCGUGGGUGAAGAAGGCCUUCGGGUUGUAAAGCCCUUUUGUUGGGAAAGAAAAGCAGCAGGUUAAUACCCCGCUGUUCUGACGGUACCCAAAGAAUAAGCACCGGCUAACUUCGUG
This 492-nucleotide ribosomal RNA is filed under the name uncultured bacterium. RNAcentral's name for it is "partial 16S ribosomal RNA". It matches the Rfam family "Bacterial small subunit ribosomal RNA", at positions 29 to 507 of the family's 1533-position model. The record is from RNAcentral.